GAGGGUAUAGCUCACUGGUAGAGUGCAUGCUUAGUAUGCAGGAGGUCCCAGGUUCAAUUCCCGGUACCUCUG
This 72-nucleotide transfer RNA is filed under the name Camelus bactrianus (Bactrian camel). It matches the Rfam family "tRNA". From Rfam's summary of the family: Transfer RNA (tRNA) molecules are approximately 80 nucleotides in length. Their secondary structure includes four short double-helical elements and three loops (D, anti-codon, and T loops). RNAcentral also lists the same sequence under 2 other names. The record is from Rfam by way of RNAcentral. Lineage: Eukaryota; Metazoa; Chordata; Mammalia; Artiodactyla; Camelidae.